This is a long non-coding RNA of Etheostoma spectabile (orangethroat darter), 76 nucleotides long. RefSeq lists it as uncharacterized. The transcript has 3 exons. Lineage: Eukaryota; Metazoa; Chordata; Actinopteri; Perciformes; Percidae. The record is from RefSeq and is a predicted model, not a curated record.
UCAAUAAACAUUCAACAGACGCCCCUACCUUCCCCCACGCUCACAGAAGAAAGACAAAGAACCGACAGCACAUCCU